GACGAACGCUGGCGGCGUGCUUAACACAUGCAAGUCGAACGGUGAAGCGCCUUCCUUUUUGGUGGGUGUGGAUGAGUGGCGAACGGGUGAGUAACACGUGAGUAACCUGCCCCCUUCUUCUGGAUAACCGCAUGAAAGUGUGGCUAAUACGGGAUAUUCUGGGUCUGUCGCAUGAUGGGUCUGGGAAAGAUAUUGUUUCGGUGGGGGAUGGGCUCGCGGCCUAUCAGCUUGUUGGUGGGGUGAUGGCCUACCAAGGCGGUGACGGGUAGCCGGCCUGAGAGGGUGGACGGUCACACUGGGACUGAGACACGGCCCAGACUCCUACGGGAGGCAGCAGUGGGGAAUAGUGCACAAUGGGCGCAAGCCUGAUGCAGCGACGCCGCGUGAGGGAUGGAGGCCUUCGGGUUGUGAACCUCUUUCGCCAGUGAAGCAGGCCUGCCUAGUUUGUGGGUGGGUUGACGGUAGCUGGAGAAGAAGCGCCGGCUAACUACGUG
RNAcentral lists this ribosomal RNA (494 nucleotides) under uncultured bacterium. RNAcentral describes it as "partial 16S ribosomal RNA". It matches the Rfam family "Bacterial small subunit ribosomal RNA", at positions 28 to 507 of the family's 1533-position model. The record is from RNAcentral.